Dioscorea cayenensis subsp. rotundata (Guinea yam) is the source of this 107-nucleotide small nucleolar RNA. NCBI's taxonomy places the organism in Eukaryota, Viridiplantae, Streptophyta, Magnoliopsida, Dioscoreales, Dioscoreaceae. The record is from RefSeq and is a predicted model, not a curated record.
AACCUAUGGUGAGGACAUUUCCGCAGGUGAUCCUUGAACCUAUCCCAUGACUCAAAAAAAGACUCCAAUUAUGUUUGCACAAAAGAGGAUAUUUUAUUCCUAAGCUU